Molecule: ribosomal RNA, 503 nt
Filed under: uncultured bacterium
Lineage: Bacteria
Description: bacterial SSU rRNA
Rfam family: Bacterial small subunit ribosomal RNA
Source: RNAcentral
UGAGUAAUGUCUGGGAAACUGCCUGAUGGAGGGGGAUAACUACUGGAAACGGUAGCUAAUACCGCAUAACGUCGCAAGACCAAAGAGGGGGACCUUCGGGCCUCUUGCCAUCAGAUGUGCCCAGAUGGGAUUAGCUAGUAGGUGGGGUAACGGCUCACCUAGGCGACGAUCCCUAGCUGGUCUGAGAGGAUGACCAGCCACACUGGAACUGAGACACGGUCCAGACUCCUACGGGAGGCAGCAGUGGGGAAUAUUGCACAAUGGGCGCAAGCCUGAUGCAGCCAUGCCGCGUGUAUGAAAAGGCCUUCGGGUUGUAAAGUACUUUCAGCGGGGAGGAAGGUGUUGAGGUUAAUAACCUCAGCAAUUGACGUUACCCGCAGAAGAAGCACCGGCUAACUCCGUGCCAGCAGCCGCGGUAAUACGGAGGGUGCAAGCGUUAAUCGGAAUUACUGGGCGUAAAGCGCACGCAGGCGGUCUGUCAAGUCGGAUGUGAAAUCCCCGGG